RNAcentral lists this ribosomal RNA (460 nucleotides) under uncultured bacterium. Its description in RNAcentral is "partial 16S ribosomal RNA". It matches the Rfam family "Bacterial small subunit ribosomal RNA", at positions 338 to 795 of the family's 1533-position model. The record is from RNAcentral.
CCUACGGGUUGCAGCAGUGAGGAAUAUUGGUCAAUGGACGAGAGUCUGAACCAGCCAAGUAGCGUGAAGGAUGACUGCCCUAUGGGUUGUAAACUUCUUUUAUCUGGGAAUAAAGUGUACCACGUGUGCGUUUUUGUAUGUACCAUAUGAAUAAGGAUCGGCUAACUCCGUUCCAGCAGCCGCGGUAAUACGGAGGAUCCGAGCGUUCUCCGGAUUUAUUGGGGUUAAAGGGAGCGUAGGGGGAUUGUUAAGUCAGUUGUGAAAGUUUGCGGCUCAACCGUAAAAUUGCAGUUGAUACUGGCAGUCUUGAGUACAGUAGAGGUAGGCGGAAUUCGUGGUGUAGCGGUGAAAUGCUUAGAUAUCACGAAGAACUCCGAUUGCGAAGGCAGUUCACUGGACUGCAACUGACACUGAGGCUCGAAAGUGUGGGUAUCAAACAGGAUUAGAUACCCGGGUAGUC